AUUGAACGCUGGCGGCAUGCCUUACACAUGCAAGUCGAACGGCAGCACGGGUGCUUGCACCUGGUGGCGAGUGGCGAACGGGUGAGUAAUACAUCGGAACGUACCUUAUCGUGGGGGAUAACGCAGCGAAAGUUGUGCUAAUACCGCAUACGCCCUGAGGGGGAAAGCGGGGGAUCGCAAGACCUCGCGCGAUUAGAGCGGCCGAUGCCUGGUUAGCUUGUUGGUGGGGGAAAAGCCCACCAAGGCGACGAUCAGUAGCUGGUCUGCGAGGACGAUCAGCCACACUGGGACUGAGACACGGCCCAGACUCCUACGGGAGGAAGCAGUGGGUAAUUUUGGACAAUGGGGGCAACCCUGAUCCAGCAAUGCCGCGUGAGUGAAGAAGGCCUUCGGGUUGUAAAGCUCUUUUGUCAGGGAAGAAACACCGGCUCUAACACAGUCCGGGAAUGACGGUACCUGAAGAAUAAGCACCGGCUAACUACGUGCCAGCCGCCGCAGUAA
This 501-nucleotide ribosomal RNA is filed under the name uncultured bacterium. RNAcentral describes it as "partial 16S ribosomal RNA". It matches the Rfam family "Bacterial small subunit ribosomal RNA", at positions 30 to 523 of the family's 1533-position model. The record is from RNAcentral.